AUGCCUGCGCCUGCACCACCUUCCCUCACGGAGAUAGGCUUGUCACCUCCUCAUCCUCAGCUUGGGAUUUCUUCUUCUUCUCUUGUUUAGGACCCAGCCUGCAGGUCAAGUUCAGCCUCUCUGUCCACCUUCUGCGAGUGCUCUCCAGCCACUACACACAGGGCAGUCGGUACGUAGUUUCUGCACGUGAGCGAGCUCAGCAGAUCUCUUUUCACCAGCCCUGCCUUACAGAGAGGACAGCUCCUGGGAACACCCUGUUGGGACAUGAGAUGCACACACUGGUGGCCGGCUGUCCAAGGAAACAACUGUAGCUCCUGCCACACACUGUGCUGCUUGCUCCUCUGCUCCCAGAGGAAUCCAUUGCCUUUUGGAUAGAGUCAAAGUCCUUCCCAGGUCCCAGCCCACAGGCCCUGCCCUCCCCUUCACUGCCCUCUCUUCCCAACACUCCCCUCCCCCCAUCUCCUCCAUUCAUAGCUCUUGUAUUGGAACUUGUUUCUUUCUAAUUGCUCCAGCUUCCUUGGCUCUUUCUGUACUUCACAUGUGCUCCUUAGGUGCCCACCUCCAGACCUCAGCCAUGGCUUGUCCUCCUCUUGGACCCACCCCUAAGCAGCCAGCUCAGGUCCCCUCUCAAUUGUUCUCAGCACUGUUUCUAAACUAAUCUCCCCACAUCAGCUCCCUAACCACAGCUCAUGUUGUUCCAUGAUUUCAGUAGUAUUGGUGGUGCCCAUUUCUCUGAGUACCUGUUUGUUUGUUCA
Mus musculus (house mouse) is the source of this 755-nucleotide long non-coding RNA. RefSeq annotates it as predicted gene, 35305. NCBI's taxonomy places the organism in Eukaryota, Metazoa, Chordata, Mammalia, Rodentia, Muridae. The record is from RefSeq and is a predicted model, not a curated record. The transcript has 3 exons.